UCUAAUAGUACAAUUUAUUUUUUUUGGUUAGGAUUUAAUUUUUUAAAAAAAGUUAAUUAUUUAUUUUUAGGUGAAAUUAGAAUAAAUAAAUAAUUUAAAAAGUAAAAUUGAGGUCUAUAAAUUAAUUUAGAAACUAGGAUUAGAUACCCUAUUAUUAUAACUUAAAAAUUUACCUUAUGAUUAAUAGGUACGAGCUUUAAAGUAAAAAAAUUUGGCGGUAUUUUAAGCUUUUUAGAGGAACCUGUUCUAUAAUUGAUGAUCCACGAUUAAACUUACUUUUUCUUAAUUUGCAUAUCGUUGUUUAAAGUAUACUUUUAGGUUAUAUUUGUUUUAUAAAUUUUAUAUUAAUUCAGAUCAAGGUGUAGUUGAUGAAAAAGAAGAAAUGGGUUACUUUAAAGUUAUUUAUGGAUUUUAAUAUAUGGUUAUUAAAUGAAAUUGGAUUUAAUAGUAAAAUGAUAUAUAUUUAUUAUUUGAAUUUAGCUCUAAAAU
RNAcentral lists this ribosomal RNA (489 nucleotides) under Polychalma multicava. RNAcentral describes it as "partial 12S small subunit ribosomal RNA". Lineage: Eukaryota; Metazoa; Arthropoda; Insecta; Coleoptera; Chrysomelidae. The record is from RNAcentral.